AGUGAACGCUGGCGGUAGGCCUAACACAUGCAAGUCGAACGGCAGCACAGUAAGAGCUUGCUCUUACGGGUGGCGAGUGGCGGACGGGUGAGGAAUACAUCGGAAUCUACUUUUUCGUGGGGGAUAACGUAGGGAAACUUACGCUAAUACCGCAUACGACCUACGGGUGAAAGCAGGGGAUCUUCGGACCUUGCGCGAUUGAAUGAGCCGAUGUCGGAUUAGCUAGUUGGCGGGGUAAAGGCCCACCAAGGCGACGAUCCGUAGCUGGUCUGAGAGGAUGAACGGACACACUGGAACUGAGACACGGUCAAGACUCCGAAGGGAGGCAGCAGUGGGGAAUAUGGGACAAUGGGCGCAAGCCUGAUCCAGCCAUACCGAGUGGGUGAAGAAGGCCUGCGGGUUGUAAAGCCAUUUUGUGGGGAAAGAAAAGCAGCAGGUUAAUACCCCGCUGUUCUGACGGUACCCAAAGAAUAAGCACCGGCUAACUUCGU
Molecule: ribosomal RNA, 491 nt
Filed under: uncultured bacterium
Lineage: Bacteria
Description: partial 16S ribosomal RNA
Rfam family: Bacterial small subunit ribosomal RNA
Source: RNAcentral